This 72-nucleotide transfer RNA is filed under the name Kaistia hirudinis. RNAcentral's name for it is "tRNA-Ala". The record is from RNAcentral. Lineage: Bacteria; Pseudomonadati; Pseudomonadota; Alphaproteobacteria; Hyphomicrobiales; Kaistiaceae.
GUAUCCAAUGAGAUGCAGGCCGCUUGAAUGGCAUUCAAGAGGUCGUCGGUUCGAUUCCGAUUGGCUCCACCA